GCAGAGAGUCUGUAUGUAACUCAAAAGUAACACAGGAGUCAUGUAACGCAUUAAAAUUCUGAGAUAGUAAUAUUGUAAGAUAAGGAAUUACUUUUAAAUAACACUAACAAGUAACCUGUAAGGAAUUACAUUUUGAAAGUAACUUGCACAACACUGGUAAUCACAGACAUUU
Sphaeramia orbicularis (orbiculate cardinalfish) is the source of this 172-nucleotide long non-coding RNA. RefSeq lists it as uncharacterized. The transcript has 3 exons. The record is from RefSeq and is a predicted model, not a curated record. Lineage: Eukaryota; Metazoa; Chordata; Actinopteri; Kurtiformes; Apogonidae.